GAGUUGCGAACGGGUGAGUAACGCGUAGGUAACCUGCCUGGUAGCGGGGGAUAACUAUUGGAAACGAUAGCUAAUACCGCAUAAUAUUGAUUAUUGCAUGAUAAUUGAUUGAAAGAUGCAACUGCAUCACUACCAGAUGGACCUGCGUUGUAUUAGCUAGUAGGUGAGGUAACGGCUCACCUAGGCGACGAUACAUAGCCGACCUGAGAGGGUGAUCGGCCACACUGGGACUGAGACACGGCCCAGACUCCUACGGGAGGCAGCAGUAGGGAAUCUUCGGCAAUGGACGAAAGUCUGACCGAGCAACGCCGCGUGAGUGAAGAAGGUUUUCGGAUCGUAAAGCUCUGUUGUAAGAGAAGAACGGGUGUGAGAGUGGAAAGUUCACACUGUGACGGUAUCUUACCAGAAAGGGACGGCUAACUACGUGCCAGCAGCCGCGGUAAUACGUAGGUCCCGAGCGUUGUCCGGAUUUAUUGGGCGUAAAGCGAGCGCAGGCGGUUAGAUAAGUCUGAAGUUAAAGGCUGUGGCUUAACCAUAGUACGCUUUGGAAACUGUUUAACUUGAGUGCAGAAGGGGAGAGUGGAAUUCCAUGUGUAGCGGUGAAAUGCGUAGAUAUAUGGAGGAACACCGGUGGCGAAAGCGGCUCUCUGGUCUGUAACUGACGCUGAGGCUCGAAAGCGUGGGGAGCGAACAGGAUUAGAUACCCUGGUAGUCCACGCCGUAAACGAUGAGUGCUAGGUGUUAGGCCCUUUCCGGGGCUUAGUGCCGCAGCUAACGCAUUAAGCACUCCGCCUGGGGAGUACGACCGCAAGGUUGAAACUCAAAGGAAUUGACGGGGGCCCGCACAAGCGGUGGAGCAUGUGGUUUAAUUCGAAGCAACGCGAAGAACCUUACCAGGUCUUGACAUCCCGAUGCCCGCUCUAGAGAUAGAGUUUUACUUCGGUACAUCGGUGACAGGUGGUGCAUGGUUGUCGUCAGCUCGUGUCGUGAGAUGUUGGGUUAAGUCCCGCAACGAGCGCAACCCUUAUUGUUAGUUGCCAUCAUUCAGUUGGGCACUCUAGCGAGACUGCCGGUAAUAAACCGGAGGAAGGUGGGGAUGACGUCAAAUCAUCAUGCCCCUUAUGACCUGGGCUACACACGUGCUACAAUGGCUGGUACAACGAGUCGCAAGUCGGUGACGGCAAGCUAAUCUCUUAAAGCCAGUCUCAGUUCGGAUUGUAGGCUGCAACUCGCCUACAUGAAGUCGGAAUC
RNAcentral lists this ribosomal RNA (1251 nucleotides) under Streptococcus gordonii. Its description in RNAcentral is "bacterial SSU rRNA". It matches the Rfam family "Bacterial small subunit ribosomal RNA", at positions 93 to 1333 of the family's 1533-position model. Lineage: Bacteria; Bacillati; Bacillota; Bacilli; Lactobacillales; Streptococcaceae. The record is from RNAcentral.